AUUGAACGCUGGCGGCAGGCUUAACACAUGCAAGUCGAGCGGGGGAAGGUAGCUUGCUCCCGGACCUAGCGGCGGACGGGUGAGUAAUGCUUAGGAAUCUGCCUAUUAGUGGGGGACAACAUCUCGAAAGGGAUGCUAAUACCGCAUACGUCCUACGGGAGAAAGCAGGGGAUCUUCGGACAUUGCGCGAAUAGAUGAGCCUAAGUCGGAUUAGCGAGUUGGUGAGGUAAAGGCCUACCCAGGCGACGAUCUGUAGCGGGUCUGAGAAGAUGAACCGCCACACUGGGACUGGGACCCGGCUCCGACUCCCUCGGGAGGCAGCAAUGGGGGAUAUUGGAGCAUGGGGGGAACGCCGAACCAGCCAAGCCCGGUUGGGGAAGAAGGCCUUACGGUUCUUAAGCACUUUAAGUGAGGAGGAGGCUACUUUAGUUGAUACCGUGCGAUUGUGGACGUUACUCGAAGAAUAAGCACCGGCUAACUCUGUG
This 485-nucleotide ribosomal RNA is filed under the name uncultured bacterium. RNAcentral's name for it is "partial 16S ribosomal RNA". It matches the Rfam family "Bacterial small subunit ribosomal RNA", at positions 30 to 507 of the family's 1533-position model. The record is from RNAcentral.